Molecule: ribosomal RNA, 434 nt
Filed under: uncultured bacterium
Lineage: Bacteria
Description: bacterial SSU rRNA
Rfam family: Bacterial small subunit ribosomal RNA
Source: RNAcentral
UAACACAUGCYAGUCGAACGGUAACAGGAAGCAGCUUGCUGCUUUGCUGACGAGUGGCGGACGGGUGAGUAAUGUCUGGGAAACUGCCUGAUGGAGGGGGAUAACUACUGGAAACGGUAGCUAAUACCGCAUAACGUCGCAAGACCAAAGAGGGGGACCUUCGGGCCUCUUGCCAUCGGAUGUGCCCAGAUGGGAUUAGCUUGUUGGUGGGGUAACGGCUCACCAAGGCGACGAUCCCUAGCUGGUCUGAGAGGAUGACCAGCCACACUGGAACUGAGACACGGUCCAGACUCCUACGGGAGGCAGCAGUGGGGAAUAUUGCACAAUGGGCGCAAGCCUGAUGCAGCCAUGCCGCGUGUAUGAAGAAGGCCUUCGGGUUGUAAAGUACUUUCMGCGGGGAGGAAGGGAGUAAAGUUAAUACCUUUACUCCAUUG